RNAcentral lists this long non-coding RNA (202 nucleotides) under Phaseolus vulgaris (common bean). RNAcentral's name for it is "long non-coding RNA (PVUL_LNC003567)". Lineage: Eukaryota; Viridiplantae; Streptophyta; Magnoliopsida; Fabales; Fabaceae. The record is from RNAcentral.
AAAUCUGCAAAGAUUUGCCCCUUGAUCGGGCCUCGGGGCUCAUAUUUAAUAUCAAACUCUGACAACUCUACUGCCCACUUCACCAUCCUUCCCGCAACGUCAGGUUUCUUCAGGACCUUCUGGAUGGGCAGGUCAGUCAUCACCAGUAUUGUGAAGCUAUGGAAGUAGUGGCGCAACCUCCUCGCCGAAAAUACCACAGCCA